UACGAGGGGGGCAAGCGUUGUCCGGAAGUAUUGGGCGUAAAGAGCUCGUAGGCGGUCUGUUGCGUCCGCUGUGAAAACCCAGGGCUUAACCCUGGGCUGGCAGUGGAUACGGACAGACUAGAGGUAGGUAGGGGAGAAUGGAAUUCCCGGUGUAGCGGUGAAAUGCGCAGAUAUCGGGAGGAACACCGGUGGCGAAGGCGGUUCUCUGGGCCUUACCUGACGCUGAGGAGCGAAAGCGUGGGGAGCGAACAGG
This 253-nucleotide ribosomal RNA is filed under the name uncultured bacterium. RNAcentral's name for it is "partial 16S ribosomal RNA". It matches the Rfam family "Bacterial small subunit ribosomal RNA", at positions 524 to 776 of the family's 1533-position model. The record is from RNAcentral.